GGUAGGGUAGCCGAGUAGGCAGCGGGUUGUAGCCCUGAAGACAGAGGUCCGAGUCCUCUCCCUAUCA
Molecule: transfer RNA, 67 nt
Filed under: Saurogobio immaculatus
Lineage: Eukaryota; Metazoa; Chordata; Actinopteri; Cypriniformes; Gobionidae
Description: tRNA-Tyr
Rfam family: tRNA
About the family: Transfer RNA (tRNA) molecules are approximately 80 nucleotides in length. Their secondary structure includes four short double-helical elements and three loops (D, anti-codon, and T loops).
Source: RNAcentral